Molecule: small RNA, 1026 nt
Filed under: uncultured bacterium
Lineage: Bacteria
Description: bacterial SSU rRNA
Rfam family: Bacterial small subunit ribosomal RNA (bases 1-491)
Source: RNAcentral
AUGGCUGUCGUCAGCUCGUGUCGUGAGAUGUUGGGUUAAGUCCCGCAACGAGCGCAACCCUCAUCUUUAGUUGCCAUCAGUUAGGCUGGGCACUCUAGAGAAACUGCCUGCGAUGAGCAGGAGGAAGGCGGGGAUGACGUCAAGUCCUCAUGGCCCUUAUGGACUGGGCUACACACGUGCUACAAUGGCGGUGACAGUGGGAAGCAAUAGGGCGACCUGGAGCAAAUCCCCAAAAGCCGUCCCAGUUCGGAUUGUACUCUGCAACUCGAGUGCAUGAAGUUGGAAUCGCUAGUAAUCGUGGAUCAGCAUGCCACGGUGAAUACGUUCCCGGGCCUUGUACACACCGCCCGUCACACCAUGGGAAUUGGUUCUACCCGAAUGCGGUGAGCUAACCUGCUUGCAGGAGGCAGCCGACCACGGUAGGGUCAGUGACUGGGGUGAAGUCGUAACAAGGUAGCCGUAGGGGAACCUGCGGCUGGAUCACCUCCUUUCUAAGGAAAAACAAAGGGUGGGCGCCUAUUGCCUGCCGCUGCCCAGCGAAUUUCUUCCAGGUAAUCUUAAAUGGUAAACGACAGCUACAGGCGCGUAGCUCAGUUGGUUAGAGCGCACGACUGAUAAUCGUGAGGUCGGCAGUUCAAAUCUGCCCGUGCCUACCAUCUGUUCGGCCGCCUUUGGCUUGCAAUCAUUUUUGUUUUGAAAAGAAAUGCUUAUUUAUUUCGUUUGUCCGGCAGCGUCCGUUCGACGAAAUACGCUGUUUGACAAAGUUAGUGAAGACAUCCAAGACCGCGGGAUUUAGCUGUGGCGAUUUCUGGUUUACCAGUGAAUCGUGCAACUAAUCCUGCAAGAAAAGCUUGCAGAUCGCGUGUGAGGGCUUUUGCCUUUACGUACGGUCUGAUCAAGCGUCUCUAAGGGCAUUUGGUGGAUGCCUUGGCGUUGAGAGGCGAUGAAGGACGUGACACGCUGCGAUAAGCCAUGGGGAGCUGCGAGUAAGCUUUGAUCCGUGGAUUUCCGAAUGGGGAAACCCGG